Mugil cephalus (flathead mullet) is the source of this 5130-nucleotide RNA transcript. It is a transcript of the gene named bromodomain containing 8a, with no coding region annotated. NCBI's taxonomy places the organism in Eukaryota, Metazoa, Chordata, Actinopteri, Mugiliformes, Mugilidae. The transcript has 20 exons. The record is from RefSeq and is a predicted model, not a curated record.
UAUUAUAAAAGAGGACAUCUUUGCAAAGAACCAAUAGCAGCUAGUUAGUUAGCUGAGUAAUGAACAUGCAGCUGCCUGCCUCCGGUGCUGUAGCAUCAUAAUCGUGGUGGGCGUGUACGACCAAUUCACUGCUAGCUUCAAUGAGAAAUGACAUGGGUGACUACAGUAAGCUCAAUGUUCUAGUGUCGUCGGUCGGGUUUGAGGUGACAUGAAAACUUUUAUUUGCAGACAAAGUCCUAUUUAGUAUUUGAGUAGCUGGUUUAUCUUCAAGUUACCAAAUAGCUAAAGCGCACGAGACUUCAUCGGACGUCGGCGAUUUAGCUAGCUAGUCAUACAAAAAAUCGCGAAAGGCUCAACAUGCAUUGGUAUUAAGGUCCAUAAUUGUAUGCACGUCAUUUUCGCCAAGAUGUAUGGGAUGUCGGGAUGACAGGAACAUGGCAAACGGGGUUGGAAAACACAAGCUGCUUGUCAUUGGACCAACGGAGCCAUGGUCAGUGAGGGAGAAGCUGUGUUUGGCCACAUCUGUCAUGAAGAGUGGAGACCAGAACUGGGUAUCUGUCAGUCGAGCAAUCAAACCAUUUGCAGAACCUGGGCGGCCACCUGACUGGUUCUCUCAAAAGCACUGUGCCUCCAAGUAUUCCGAGCUCCUGGAAACAACAGAGGCCCCAAAGCGGAAACGAGGUGAGAAAGGUGAAGUGGUGGAGACAGUGGAGGAUGUGAUAGUCCGCAAGCUGACAGCUGAGAGGGUUGACGAACUAAAAAGACUGAUCAAAGAAACACAGGAGAACCACAGGAAGCUGAAGAGAGAGGCUACACUGAUUCAAGCAGGACAUCUAGAUUCCAAACUGGAAGAGUUGUGGGAUGAAAUUCUGCUGAAGAAGAAACUGGAGGAGGAAGAAGCAGAGCUGAAAAGAAAAAACACAGAUGCUGCUUAUCAGGCCAGACAGGUGGCAAAGAACACGCCAAAGCGGAUGCCCAGUGUCUCCCAGUAUCUGCAUUCACCCUCAGAGUGUAACUCCCCAACCCAGGAACUCGCAACCGGUGACCCACUCGAGUGCUUGAUUCUGGACCUUACAUCCACAAAGAAUGCUUCAGGAACAGCCAGGUUAAUGACAUUUCCUGGAUCCAGUAAUGAUGAAAUCAGCCAUGGAUCACUUCUAGAUGACCAAACCCAAAAGAAACUGCUGGGCCAGAAAGCCACACCGCCACCAUCACCACUCCUCUCAGAGUUACUGAAGAAAGGCAGUAUCUUGGCCACAAAUUCCCGGCUGAUUGCAGAGGGUGACGUACCUUCUGGUAAUAUGACAGGAGCACACGACUUGCAGUUGGCCACACCAUGUCAACCUCUUUCUCAGGCAACAGGUGCCCCGAUGUUGUCUCGUCUGCUGGAGGCAGGUCCCACCCAGUUUUCUCCUCCGUUAGGUUUUAUGGUCCGUGGAGACUCUGCCUCAAGUCUUCCCUUUUCUGCUGCCACACCUGUAACUGCUGACUCCACUCCAAGCACAGAGGUGGAUAUGAUGGUGCCAUCUGUGCCCCCUGGAUGCCAGACUGUCUCUGUGAAUGAUAAGUUGUCAGAGCUCAGCGAGGAUGUGACUGUGUCCUACAUGGGAGAUGAGCUGGACCUUAAGACUGUGGGGGACAUUAUCGCCAUUAUUGAAGACAAGGCGGAUGAGGCUGCAGAGGCUUUGGAUGCAGCUGCAGUUGAGGCGGCUCUCUCCUUGUGUGAAGAGAAUGGCCACACUCUGUCUGGUGCCUGGGAUGCCGGGCCUUUCCAGCCCCAUGAGUCUCACCCCACUGUGCCCGCAGCAGCUCCACAGCCCUCUUCUCUUCACAUAAACCUCGAGGGGAGGACAGAAGCUUCCCUUUCUUCUCUUUGCAACAGUCAAGAUAACUGUAUUGCAGCAUUUCCUAUGGAACUGAGGAGUCUCCCUCCCACUGCCUCAUCCUUAUGCAACUCAAAGUGUUUGGAGAACUGCCAAAGUGGAGCACCUACACAGUUAGAGGCAAUGAGCGAGACUGGAGAGAUUAUGCGCCCCAAAAAACAAAUUUCAUUGAAUGCUACCAUAAAAUGUGAAAGUGAGAAGCAGGCACAGCAAAGACAAACCGACUCAGUAUUAGAAGAUAGCCCUCUGACAGAAAGGCAUCCCAAGGAGACAGAUGUGUAUGAUGGGCUUAGUGCCAGGGAAGGAGAGAAUGCCUUGGGGAUGAAAGUGGAUAACAAGGUCAACGGGCCAGAAGUGUGCAGAGAAGAAGAGGGUGAUGGAGUGGAGGAGUUCUCAUCAGAAUUGGACGGGGAAACAGAGCUGGAACCUGCAGCAAGCGAGAGUGAGGAUGGAUACAGUCUCCACACGGCUUCCUCGUCACUGCAAUUCCACACAACGGCAGACUCAAUCCCCAGUAGCCCUGCUUCAUCGCAGUUUUCUGUGUGCAGUGAGGACCUGGAGGCGCUACAGGCUCACAAGAUCUGGAAGAAAGCCAUUAUGCUAGUGUGGCGUGCAGCAGCCAAUCACAGGUACGCAAAUGUCUUCCUUCAGCCAGUAACAGAUGAAAUUGCACCUGGAUACCAUGGUAUUGUGCACAGGCCCAUGGACCUCGCCACCAUAAAAAAGAACAUUGAGACUGGUUUGAUACGGACCACUGCUGAGUUCCAGAGGGACAUCAUGCUGAUGUUUCAGAACGCGGUCAUGUACAACAGCCUGGACCAUGACGUGUACCACAUGGCUCUGGAGAUGCAGCGUGACGUACUGGAGCAGAUCCAGCAAUUUCUAGCAACCCAGCUCAUCAUGGAGACGUCAGAAUCUGGUAUCAGCACCAAAAGCCUGAGGGGUCGUGAGAGUGCGCGCAAACAGGACUCUACUGACAAGGUGCUUCACUAGAAUUUUGACAAAAGCAGAGUACAGAAGAAGAGACAAGGGUGAGACAACAGGCUGACUUGAAGGACUCUGUCUCCAUGUCCUCCCCUGCCUUCCUCCUUUCUCUUUUUGAUGGAGGCACCAGGGGGCGCCGUAGUGCCAUAGAAGCUGACCUCAAAAUGAAGAAAUGAAAAUCACAGCAUGAAAAUCUUGUCCAAUGGUGUCCCUGAGAAAAAGUGAACACACUUAUUCUUGCACAGAUUCUCACUCUGCAUAAUGUGCAGUGUAACCUUUACUUGCACUCUAGACUAAAUGGGUAGACUGUGAUGUGGAGGAGCUCAUUGCUUCCAAGACAGCCAUACGUACAGACAUGGAUUACAUACUGUAUAAUCCCAGAUUACAAAGGGGCAUUCUCAAAGACUAGGACAAAUCUUCCAUAGACGUAACCGCAGAUUUGGAUUUAACCGGCUCUUAAGUUUGUCAAGUUGUCAAGUGAACUUACUGCUAGCCUACAUGUGGACUGAAUUUUAGUUUACUGAGCUCCAUGUUGAACUCCAGAUUAGUGUGGAUGAUUUUAAGAAAUGCAUCAUGUCAGUGAUAAUAUGUGAGACCAAAGAGUCUGAUUAUACUAUAAUUUCUUUGCCAGAAAAGUGGCGAUCAGAGGAGCACAGUCAUUUUAAACAGGCACAUUUUUGUUACAGACCUGGUACAGUAUUAUUCAUUUAAAAAAAUCAAAAGACUUUCAUUUCAUUUUUAAAUAUCACUGUAUCGCUUGUGUUGAAUUUACUUUAUCCAUGCAACCCUUCCUGUGAAAUGGUACAUACAUGCAUAUUCUCGUCAUUUUCAGUGGUUUUGAGAAAAUGUCACAUUUUUAAACCGUUUUGUGGACUAAAGUGUUAUAACAAUAAAAUACCUUCCAACCCAUUAUAAGUGUGAAUUUACACAAAAUGUUUCCAAUCACAAAUUGAUCAGGUCAGAUCUGUCUGUGGGGGAUUUAAAUAGGUUACAUUUCAAAUCCUUAGUGUUAGUUUCUCUCUUUCAUGAAAUUGGUAUUGAGCCAGUGUCCACAUGGAACAAAGCUGCGAAAAGCUACACCACUACGUUGAUAUUCUCCCUAAAAGAAUACCGUGUGAUACACACAUUAGUGUUGACACAGAAAAAAAGUGUCUCCACUGUUGUCUUCACACAAAUGGGACCAUCACAUUACUCUGGUGUAGCACCAGUGAUUAGUUGAUUAAUUCAGCCUUCUUCAGUGUUAUAUAAAUUGACAAUGAUUAAAACUUCUCCACUUUUAUUAAGCAGAAGUCAAGACAUUUCCAGGUUUGACAGCCAUGAUGCCACUUUGUUGCUGCUGUCAUCUGCCCUCAUUUCAUUCAGCUAAAUGAGCAAAUAUAUUGUGUGAAAAUUGACCAACAGAAAGUUAAACCAGACUGUGAUCUAUUCAACUGAAUGAGUUAUCUCAGAGCAAAGCUUACAGUGGUCUCCAGAAGUGUUCAGACUCUUUUUCGUUUUACACAUGAGCAUUUUAAGGCCAUUAAAGUGCGUUUUCCUUCCACUAAUCGAUACUCAGUUUCACCUACAGGGAAAAUGUGUUUUACUUACGUAAAUAUUCAGCUCCUUAAUUCAGUCCUACUGGGAAUUGUAGUCUUCUUUCUACAAGCUUUGCAUACUGGGAUCUGGGCAGUUAUUUCAUCACUCUUGGCAGAUCCUCUCAAGGUAUGUCCGAUUUAAAACGUUUGUGAACGUCUGUCUUCAGGUAUCUCCAUGGAUGUUUUUUGGGGUUUAAGUCUGGACUUUGGCUGACCCACUCAAACAAAGAGGCAGGUCCUGAAUCCCCAUAUCUGAACACAAGCUCUGUCGGGUUCAUAAUCGCCUCUAGGCCUUCUUGCUGGCCAAGUUUGCCACUUUGGCCAAAUAUAAUGUAGGAAGGCUCUUGCUUCUUCUGAACUUCUUACUUUUCAAGUUCCGCGCUGCUCCCGUGAAGGUUUAGAAAAUGAUUUGAUGCCCCUGAUCCAUGCCUCACCUACAGGUCUACAAAAUUUUCCUUGCAUUUCCUGUCUUAGCUUUUGUGGAAACACGCAGUGCUUUGUAAUUUUAACAACUUAGAUUUUUUUUUCUCUCAGAUAUGAUGAUGGUUAAUGAUAAACGUCUUACCCAAAGGACUACAAUUGAAAGUUAGCCAGCUGGCUAACACCGGCACAUUUACUACUAAGCUGAUUAAUGCGCAAUGUCUUUUUUAAACAAAUAAAUAAAUGAAAUGAAAUCAUUGCAUCUUACA